Molecule: long non-coding RNA, 313 nt
Filed under: Capsicum annuum
Lineage: Eukaryota; Viridiplantae; Streptophyta; Magnoliopsida; Solanales; Solanaceae
Description: long non-coding RNA (CANN_LNC020706)
Source: RNAcentral
CUUCAUCUCUUUUAACUCUUCGUAGAUCCUUAACUUCCACUUUCCCAAAUUACCCUUCCUCCCAUCCAUUAUUCCCCAAAUUCCCAAAACCCUUAACCCUAAAAACCCUAAUCCCCAAUUUCAAAUUCUCCUCCGCCGUCACCACCACCGCCGCCGCCGCCACCAAAACCCCCAAAUCCCUCAAAACUCGGCUCAAAAAUAACGAAACUCUCUACGGCAUCUUCCUCCUCAGCUUCUCCCCUACCAUCGCCGAAAUCGCCGGACUUUCCGGGUACGAUUUCGCCGUUGUUGAUAUGGAGCACGGCCCCGGAGG